GUGUCAGCAGCCGCGGUAAUACGUAGGGUGCGAGCGUUAAUCGGAAUUACUGGGCGUAAAGCGUGCGCAGGCGGCUUCGCAAGUCAGACGUGAAAUCCCCGGGCUUAACCUGGGAAUGGCGUUUGAAACUACGGAGCUGGAGUGUGGCAGAGGGAGGUAGAAUUCCACGUGUAGCGGUGAAAUGCGUAGAUAUGUGGAGGAAUACCGAUGGCGAAGGCAGCCUCCUGGGCCAACACUGACGCUCAUGCACGAAAGCGUGGGGAGCAAACAGGAUUAGAUACCCUGGUAGUCC
Molecule: ribosomal RNA, 292 nt
Filed under: uncultured bacterium
Lineage: Bacteria
Description: partial 16S ribosomal RNA
Rfam family: Bacterial small subunit ribosomal RNA
Source: RNAcentral